RNAcentral lists this ribosomal RNA (429 nucleotides) under Bacteroidota bacterium. RNAcentral's name for it is "Bacteroidetes bacterium partial 16S ribosomal RNA". It matches the Rfam family "Bacterial small subunit ribosomal RNA", at positions 355 to 776 of the family's 1533-position model. Lineage: Bacteria; Pseudomonadati; Bacteroidota. The record is from RNAcentral.
UAGGGAAUCUUCCGCAAUGGACGCAAGUCUGACGGAGCAACGCCGCGUGAGUGAAGAAGGAUUUCGGUUCGUAAAACUCUGUUGUUAGAGAAGAACAGCGCAUAGAGUAACUGUUAUGCGUGUGACGGUAUCUAACCAGAAAGCCACGGCUAACUACGUGCCAGCAGCCGCGGUAAUACGUAGGUGGCAAGCGUUGUCCGGAUUUAUUGGGCGUAAAGCGAGCGCAGGCGGUCAAUUAAGUCUGAUGUGAAAGCCCCCGGCUCAACCGGGGAGGGUCAUUGGAAACUGGGUGACUUGAGUGCAGAAGAGGAGAGUGAAAUUCCAUGUGUAGCGGUGAAAUGCGUAGAUAUAUGGAGGAACACCAGUGGCGAAGGCGACUCUCUGGUCUGUAACUAACGCUGAGGCUCGAAAGCGUGGGUAGCAAACAGG